GAUGCUGUCAGUGAACUUCAGUCUGUUUGUGACUUUGUUUCUGCUCACAAUAAGAGGUGUCAGCUGUGAAGAACUCACUCCAGUCAAGAAUGAAGAGUUCGCUUUAGAAGACAGCUCUGUUACUCUGUCCUACAAAUACUCUAAAAAAGCAAAUGUUGGAGAUUAUUUCUUCUGGUAUCGACAAUAUCCAGGAAAACCACCAGGGCUCCUCAUCUCACACUCUGCUUCAGGAGCAGUAGGAAAUGAUCCAAUCCCUGGAUGGUCUGCUAAAGUGAGUGAUGAUAAAACCCAUCUGGAUCUGCAGAUCUCCUCUGCUGCAGUGACAGACUCUGCUGUGUACUACUGUGCUGUGAGGCCCACAGUGACAGGAAACACCAAAGCUCUGUACAAAAACCUGACAGCUCCUCUGAAGAUUUACUCACUGCAGCUCCUCCUUUUACUGAACAACAGUGACACCAAGUGGACACUGACAACACAAUCUAAUGACAAGUUACAACAUUACUCCUGUUAG
This is a non-coding RNA of Micropterus salmoides (largemouth bass), 511 nucleotides long. The record is from the annotation of a RefSeq genome assembly. NCBI's taxonomy places the organism in Eukaryota, Metazoa, Chordata, Actinopteri, Centrarchiformes, Centrarchidae.